GGUCUCUUUGUGCACCCGCCCACACGGUUUGCCGUGUUUUCACCCUUCUUUGUUCUCCACCGGUCUGGGCAGGGUCUGAGGACUCCGGAGAGCAAGGCAUGGGUCCGCCUCGUGCCGCAGGUUCCUGGCCCACGCCAGCCGUACCCAGUAGCACAAUGGGAUUUGAGGACACACGCCAGCUGCCUACACCUGAAGAAAGGGCUUUGCUGCUACGCACUGACAAGUUGGACGGCUUUUUAUUGCUUUGUUGCCAGUUAUCUGAACAUGAGAGGCUGUAAGGUGUAAUCUGCGAGCCCUGCGCCCAGACUGAACCAGGGCCUCCCUUGAACAUGAGUAUUAGACAAAUGAAAUAAGAACUUAUCUUGCCCAGACUAUAUAAUGGCUUGGAAAUGCAUAGUUUCCUGAACGAUCUCAAUAAAAUACUUUUAAAAGUACUUAAAAAAAAAAAAA
Molecule: long non-coding RNA, 450 nt
Filed under: Mus musculus (house mouse)
Lineage: Eukaryota; Metazoa; Chordata; Mammalia; Rodentia; Muridae
Description: RIKEN cDNA 1110038B12 gene (1110038B12Rik)
Source: RNAcentral